RNAcentral lists this transfer RNA (76 nucleotides) under Steroidobacter flavus. RNAcentral's name for it is "tRNA-Thr". It matches the Rfam family "tRNA". Rfam says of the family: Transfer RNA (tRNA) molecules are approximately 80 nucleotides in length. Their secondary structure includes four short double-helical elements and three loops (D, anti-codon, and T loops). Lineage: Bacteria; Pseudomonadati; Pseudomonadota; Gammaproteobacteria; Steroidobacterales; Steroidobacteraceae. RNAcentral also lists the same sequence under 2 other names. The record is from RNAcentral.
GCCGUCUUAGCUCAGCUGGUAGAGCAACGCAUUCGUAAUGCGUGGGUCCGCGGUUCGAUUCCGCGAGACGGCACCA